GUCUCUUUGUUACUGAUACAUAAAGAGCCUGACCUGCCCAGUGAUAAAGAUUUAACGGCCGCGGUACUCUGACCGUGCAAAGGUAGCAUAAUCAUUUGCCUUAUAAUUAAAGGCUUGUAUGAAUGGUUUGACGAGAAUUAGCCUGUCUCUUAUAAAUUAAAAUGAAAUUGACUUUUAAGUGUAAAGGCUUAAAUUUCACUAUUAGACAAGAAGACCCUAUUGAGCUUUAAAGAUUUAUAACAACAUAAAUUAUAUUAAAAUGAGAUUAUAGGUUGUUAAACUUUUUAGUUGGGGCGACUAUUGGAACAAAUAAAACUUCCAGAGUUUUUGUAGUAUUUAAUAUUGAUUUAUUUAAAUUGAUCCAAAAUAUUUUGAUUAAUAGAAUAAGUUACCAUAGGGAUAACAGCAUAAUCUAUCUUAAGAGUUCUAAUCGAAAGAAAGGUUUGUGACCUCGAUGUUGGAUUAAAAUAUCCUAAGGGUGUAGAAGCUUUUGAGGGUUGGUCUGUUCGACCAUUAAAAUUUU
This 523-nucleotide ribosomal RNA is filed under the name Pila turbinis. Its description in RNAcentral is "partial 16S ribosomal RNA". It matches the Rfam family "Bacterial large subunit ribosomal RNA", at positions 1817 to 2597 of the family's 2925-position model. Lineage: Eukaryota; Metazoa; Mollusca; Gastropoda; Architaenioglossa; Ampullariidae. The record is from RNAcentral.